RNAcentral lists this long non-coding RNA (2296 nucleotides) under Theobroma cacao (cacao). Its description in RNAcentral is "long non-coding RNA (TCAC_LNC004935)". The record is from RNAcentral. Lineage: Eukaryota; Viridiplantae; Streptophyta; Magnoliopsida; Malvales; Malvaceae.
AACAUGCAUGUAUACACAUAUAAUAAGUAAACAAUAAAAAUAUAUACAUUCAUUAAUUUAUGCAUAGAAUCAAGCAUUAAAAAGUUCAAAAAAAAAAUUCAAAAUGGCAGAUUUUCUUUCUUUUUUAAUAUUGGCCUUCUAUGUUUUGGGUUAAGGGACAUAUGUAUUGUCACGACUUGAAACUCUCAUCGGGCCCGUGACAACCGUCGCGAUGUCCCAAUAGGCACUCAUUACCCCGAAUAUCGAUCGGAACCCCGCAAGGCUUAGCAUCAGCUUCUGCAUCUCCCCGGUGAGCGACAGUUAUUAAAUCUUGCAUUUUAAGAAAUCAUAAGUCGUUUCCAAAUUAAAGCAAUAAAAUAUUAUUUUCUGGCUCACAAGGGCAUUUUCGUCAUUUUUCUUCGAUAAUACCGAAACUCACCAAAAACAUGGUGUAAAAGCUAAAUAUGUUCAUACAUAUUUUAAAUCAGAUAACUAAAGUAUAAAAUUACUUUUACAAUGACAUGUGGGCCCCCAACUAACCAAUAAGAUGCGAGUUUGUGAACCUAUAAUUUUGACAAUGCAAGGCUAACUGAAGUCCUUGAUGCAAUCGGCUAUCUACCGGCUAUCCCGAACCUGAAAUGUGGGGAAUUGAGAGUUGUGAGAUUAUAAAAUCUCAGUGAGUAAACAGACACCAUCUAAACUAUCUAAAGGCGAGUAAAUGGAGACAAUUAAAAAUAAUUAACUUCAGCAAAUUUUUCACAUCACGAAUAUUCAUUUUAACCAAAUAAUCAAUAUGGCUUGUGAAUUACUCAAAACUUGGCUCAUGCCAAAUCCUGUACUCGGGGACACUUGGACUAGGGGUACCCAAUCGAGUCCGCCAAGGCUGUUAAAAAUUCAUAUUUCGCAUAAAUCAUAUUUUUAUUUUGAAACAUAGACGUUCCUUGGCGUUGACUGAGUCUCACUAUCACGCGGUGGUCCACGUGAAGUGCACUCAAAAAGCCCACCUCAGGAGAUACCCUAUGCGCCUCUACGAUCGAGGUGAGAAUAUAAAGGAGUUUACCGUGCCCCUCUAAUAGGCUGGCCCACGAAACCCCCCACCACUGCAGUAGCUAAUCUUUUAUCUACCACCUGAUUUAUAAAAUCUUUUUCUGCAUGAUAUGACAAUUUAUCGCAACCUAGCCUCUCAAGGCUAAAUACACAGUACAAAUAAUUCUAACACCAAAAUCAGUUUAGCCAUUCAUGCUUAUUUAUUGUCAUAAGCCAUUCAAUUUAAAACCAUAAAUUUACAACACAAGCAGGCAGUCUCGAUUACUCUAUUUUCAAAACCAGUAUUCGAUUUUUCAGAAAAUUUAUAAAAUCAUUUUAUAAAAUCACAAUUUCUCUUAAAACAUAGCAAUUUACCAUUUAAACCAAUUUUUCAGAAAAUCACACAAUUGUAUAAAACUACUCUAGAUAAUUAAGACGAUAAUAAGUUUACUCACAGUUUUCGAAAUCUAAAUUCGGGUACUCCAACUAUUACUCCUCGGGUGCGAUUUCUUUGCCCUUGCCGGAGGAUUUGCCACCUUGACAAAUUGCACAAUUAAGAGGUUUACUACUUUGGUACUAAACCAAAAUAAACUAAUUUAUACUACUAAUGCAUGAUAUGAAGUGCAAAAUGUCUAAAUUUUACCUAAACGAGAUGUUAGCCUAUUUUGAUCUUUUACCCGAUAAAUCGAUAUACGCGUCUGUUUAAACUCCAAAUUAAUUUUUUUCAGUUUCUAUACCUCAAUUGCACCCAAAUUGACUUAAUGUUCCUUAGUGUGGUGCAAAUUAUCAGUCUCGAUAGCAAAUUACGAAAAUACCCCUAGUGGGUAAAAAUUUAUAUUUUUGCUCUGAAAAUUCUCAUUAUUUUUCUAGGCACAUAAUUCAUCAUUAUUCAUCAUAAUUCCUCAAAUAAACAUCAAGAUCAGCACCCAAUAUUCCCCUAGAAAAUUCGGCCAAUAAUGGUAAUGGAGGAAAAUGAAUUCUUUUCUUGUUGUUUUGUUUCUAAAUUUGCUAAACUAAUUAAAAACACUAACAUAACUUAAAAUCAAAUUAUUCUAACUUCAUUCUCUCUCCAUACCCAUUUGGGCAGACAUGAAUUCACCAUGAAAACAUGAAAUCUAACAAUGAAAAAUAAGGAGAAAUGCAUGGGAAAGGUAGAUCACAAGUCAAAAUCAAGAAAUUUUACCUUUGAUUGUUUGAUUCCUUGAAAUCUACCAAUUUUCCUUUAAUUUUCCCACUUAGGUUUCUUGUUUUUUCCUUUCCUCCUUUUGUUCUUCCUUUUUCUUUGUUUGGC